CCCUCACUUACUCUUAUUCUUUUCCGUCUUUUCUGCCUCUCCGCCAUUUCAAUCUCUGCUUUCCAUCACCGUUCUCGACUUGAUCAAGAACCCAGUUAAACUAAAUGGCUAGUUGGGAAACUAACAAAUUGGUAUCCGCUCAUCCAAAUGAUCUGUUUGAUGAUGAAAAUAAAGGAAAGGCAUGUUGGGAUAUUAGCCACUUGGUAUCUCCCGAUCCGAAUGUUCUGUCAGAUGAUGAAAAUAACGAAGAGGAGAAACUUCGAAGGGAGCAAGAGGAUACGGAAUGGUUUGCUUUGUGUAAAAUAACAUGGAAGCUUAUCUUCUUGUAUUAUGAAGAAUACAUAUGCGACGUACCUUACAGUAAGGCAAAACAUCUUGUAGCAUCAAUAAAAGAGGAUAUACACUCUCUAAUAGAGUUUAUGUCGAGCCAAACCACUGCUACAUCUCCUGCAGUAGAUGAGCCCACCAUCGACAAGUGUUUUGCCAUUUUAGAAAAUAUUACUGAUAUUCCUCCGGGGAGUCAUGCUACCCUUAUUUUAUUAGAAAAAAAGAGCGUCUUUCAACAAAAAAGGAUGCAACUUAAUGAAAUACAUAUGGGAAGUCUUUGGUUAUGUUGCCGGUUGUCGGUCGUCCAAUUGCAUUCUUUUAUGUAUAUUAGUUUGUAUAAGCCAUUAAUGUGCUCCAAGUCAAGUUUAUUUAAAAUAGAAAAACUCUUUCAUGCUCCA
Molecule: long non-coding RNA, 725 nt
Organism: Nicotiana attenuata
Lineage: Eukaryota; Viridiplantae; Streptophyta; Magnoliopsida; Solanales; Solanaceae
Exons: 2
Source: RefSeq, a predicted model, not a curated record